Molecule: ribosomal RNA, 497 nt
Filed under: uncultured bacterium
Lineage: Bacteria
Description: partial 16S ribosomal RNA
Rfam family: Bacterial small subunit ribosomal RNA
Source: RNAcentral
GAUGAACGCUGGCGGCGUGCCUAAUACAUGCAAGUCGAGCGACCAGACGAGGAGCUUGCUCCUCUGACGUUAGCGGCGGACGGGUGAGUCACACGUGGAUAACCUACCUAUAAGACUGGGAUAACUUCGGGAAACCGGAUCUAAUACCGGAUCAUAUAUUGAACCGCAUGGUUCAAUAGUGAACGACGGUUUUGCUGUCCCUUUUAGAUGGUUCCGCGCCGCAUUAGCUAGUUGGUAGGGUAACGGCUUACCAAGGCUACGAUGCGUAGCCGACCUGAGAGGGUGAUCAGCCACACUGGAACUGAGACACGGUCCAGACUCCUACGGGAGGCAGCAGUAGGGAAUCUUCCGCAAUGGGCGAAAGCCUGACGGAGCAACGCCGCGUGAGUGAUGAAGGUCUUCGGAUCGUAAAACUCUGUUAUUAGGGAAGAACAAAUGUGUAAGUAACUAUGCACGUCUUGACGGUACCUAAUCAGAAAGCCACGGCUAACUACGUG